Molecule: long non-coding RNA, 3198 nt
Filed under: Takifugu rubripes (torafugu)
Lineage: Eukaryota; Metazoa; Chordata; Actinopteri; Tetraodontiformes; Tetraodontidae
Description: lncRNA (ENSTRUG00000029392.1)
Source: RNAcentral
CCACUUCACACGUUGAGGAGGAUAAUGGUCACUUCUGCCUCUGUCCAGAGAGGAAAAAGUGGCGGCGUCAAGUUGAGCACAGCUGCAUCCACAUCUGCUGCGGACAGCACACAGGAACCAAGCUGGAGAUGAUCUCCACAAAGGUCCUUUUGUCUUGACCAAACGGGCUACUCAGUAGUGCAUGCUGCCCCCCCCAGCAGGGAAAUCGUGAUUGGCAACGUUCAAAUCAAUGCUGCUACAACUUUGCAUGUGGGGGGAGCUCAACCCUCCACCGAGUCCAAGAGCCUUCACUGAUGGGCUCUGAAUUUAAAAAAUACCACUUGGACAAAUGUCGGGUACUUUGACCUUUCAAAUUUCACCUCCACGAUGUCUCAGUCCUUUGAAACAAAGUUCAUUCUCCCUUUUCACUGCAAAUAUUCUCUUUUUUUUCUAAAGAUGGAGGACUUCUGGAGCGCAAUCAUGUCCAUCUGUGAUGGACCCAUAAAAACCUGAAAAUCCCCUUUAGGAAAAGGACCAAGUUCUUCAGCUAGCCUAAGCUCAGGUCCUGAAAGGACCACAGCAGUCCUGGUUUUUGCCUGUGUGGACCUCGUUACCCACCGACAGGAGCUCCCAGUGUGUCCUCCAUCACACCAGAGGGAGCCCCGAUCACAGAUCCUCCCUCUGCAGCUUCUGCAGCCUCGUCUCCUGUGAUGAAUUUAACGCCGUGUGAUGAUGACGGAUAUCAUUGCACCAAGAGAAAGGGGGGAAGAAUUCUUCUAAUCAAGAGUAUCAUCUGGGACGAGAGUACCCUUUUAAGUCUUGGAGACAAACCUCAACCGGGCCCCUGAAAGGAACCGAACAGAGGGAAGUCUUGUGUGUUUUCCAUCCAAGCAAUGAACAGAAAAGAGGAAAGAAGCGCUGCUCAGCUCCAAACAUAACAGGUGAGGCUGCAGGUGAGACUUUCCGGAUUAUUCAAGAGCCGUUGGUGAGGAUGCACUCAAACAGACGUGAGGGGCCGAGUCGUCAGAGCAGCUGGGGGAGUCGAGUUCAGAUGAAUAUUAAUGUGCAGCGGAGACGUUACAGCGCUACGCAUAUCAGGUGGGAUCUUAAUCUAUUACAGCACCAAGUGGCGAAGAAUAAGAACCUAAACUGUCCUCUCGGUGUCGCUGGGCGGUGAUGUGUGUGGCAGUGGGGGGGGCUCCGACAAAGGAAUCUGCCCAUCAAUAAGCAGCUUGGGCCUGCGCCACCAGGAUGGCAAAAAAAGAAAAUACAUCUGGACCUCAGUUUAGCGUGUGUGCCAGUGUGUGUGAGCUGCCCCGGGGAUUAAACCCAGACAUGGACUCAUCUAAUCACUGGUGGCCUGAAUGGAGAGAGAAAAUCCCCCGCUCGGGAGGCGAGUGAACAGACAGAGGUGCGAGGAGGUAAUUCGUGAACACUGUGCGCGAAGCAGCAAAAAAAAAAAGUUUAUUAGAUUGCGCGCCGGCCCGGCUCAUGUGGCAUUUCACGCCACAUCUGUGAAAUUAGACAAAGCGUGCGCGAGAUAGAGCAGGUCUGUGAUUGAAGUCUGUGCAGACGGUGGCCAGACGCACCUGGGUUCCCCCGUUCAUCCGAAUUCAGACGUUAACCCUGAAUAUAAGGCACCAGAACACCCGACACGUGAUCACAUCUGGGCUUUACCACGCCACAGUGAGCUAAAGGGGACGUCUAUGAUCUCCUGAGACAGACCCACCUACACCCCAAAGGUCCUCAGCUUAUUUACGCUCAAACAACCCAAUGUUAGCGUGGAGUCGAGCCGCAGUGUCACGGUUGGCACGCGCCAAUUAGCGGUCGGAUCAAACGCGUCGUCAAAUGGUGGUUUUCACUCCCACUGGGCCCAUGCGGCUGUCCAAAAAACAAUUUAAAUCCUGUUCUUUGUGCCGGGAAAAUGGCAUCUAUCCUUGUCAGAUCAAUAACGUCGUCGUGACACCCUGUGAGCAGUUUCUUUGAGCUGGGGCGGAUUAAACGCUGGCAGACAUCUAGUCUGGCUUCAUCUGAGGAGCUGCAGAGAUUCAGGUGCUGCAACAGUGCAGCAUUCCCACAGCGUUGGUCCGGGGAAAGCCGUUGCCCGUCGGCGCACCUGCCGCGGCCCCGCCGUCGCCUGAAACAGAGGCUCCUGCUGUCUGGACAUCCAAAAUUAAUUAAGGUAAACCUUUUUUGAAGGGCUUAAGACACUUGUUUGAGUCUACAUGUCAUCCAGGGUGGCGAGGCGGGCUGGGGCUACCGCUGGCUAACGAGGAGAAACCUGAACCCAGCAGGCACUUUUACCUGGUGAUAGCGCUCAGCGUUUGGAAUUAAAACCAAUUAUGGCUCCUCCUUCCAACGUGUAACGCGCACGCCUGUCCCUCGCCACCGGCGAGGAUGCACCCGCGUGACCGACCGCCUCGGGCGGGGAGAAAUCUUGCCACCGACCUCUCCUGGGCCUCUCUCCCCCUCCCGCCUUUAAUAUUUCAUAACCUGCUCCUAUAUCUGUUUAUUGAUAAUCAGGCCUCCGCUAGAACUGGGGAAGCCUGAAUCUUUCAUGCUGGGUGAUUUUCCCCACUGGUCUCCACUCAUUCUGAUAAUUCCGCAAUUCCAGUAAGUAAAUUGAAUUAUUAAAAAUGAUGGAAAAAUGAAACUGAAUGAGUUAGGUGGAGGGAGCGACAGCCUUGUAAUUCCACAGGACUCUAAUCUUUUAUUUCUGAAAUGUUUAAUAUCCAAAUAAAUAUUUCAGCCUCAGAAAGGGAUUUAGAGGAAUAAAGAGCAUCGCCGAUAAGCGAGUGAGAGCAACGGCGCCAGCAGUUGUCAGCAGUUAUUCCACCACAUGACUCAGCUCUGCAUCCCCAUCUAACCUGGUGCUGCUCUGCCCCCACCUGCAGCUGGAGUGUUACCUCCAUUCUCACAGUUUGAUGCGUUUUCCUCUCAGUGGUUCAGAGACUCGGGCGUAAUUGCUGCCGACCUUCUGUUGGUCCCUCCUGCACUCCAAACCCUUUCUGGACCAGACAUGAUGCUUUUAAGGGGCGGCUGACAUUGAACCGGACUGAUUGGGGUUCACCGACUGAGUGUGGCGGCGGGCUGCAGCAUUUGCAAGGCUUAUGACUUCUGUUGAGGCUGGAGCUCCACGUCGCCUUGCCUCCUCAGAGGUGGAGAGAGAAGAAGAGGGGAGGGGUGGGGAAGAAAGAAAAAGGCCCUUGAUCACCUGAA